This 119-nucleotide small RNA is filed under the name Marmota monax (woodchuck). The record is from RNAcentral. Lineage: Eukaryota; Metazoa; Chordata; Mammalia; Rodentia; Sciuridae.
GUCAGGUGUGGUAGCACACACCUGUAAUCCCAGCAGCUCUGGAGGCUGAGACAGGAGGAUUGUGAGCUCAAAGCCAGCAACUAUGAGGCGCUAAGCAACUCAGUGAGACCCUGUCUCUA